UACGUAGGGGGCAAGCGUUGUCCGGAUUUACUGGGCGUAAAGAGCGCGUAGGCGGAAGGUGAAGCGUGGCCUGAAAGCCCCCGGCUCAACCGGGGAGGGCGGCUGCGAACUGGCCUUCUUGAGGGCGAUAGAGGGGGGCGGAAUUCCUGGUGUAGCGGUGAAAUGCGUAGAGAUCAGGAGGAACACCGGUGGCGAAGGCGGGUCUCUGGGCCGAUACUGACGCUGAGGAGCGAAAGCGUGGGGAGCGAACAGG
Molecule: ribosomal RNA, 253 nt
Filed under: uncultured bacterium
Lineage: Bacteria
Description: partial 16S ribosomal RNA
Rfam family: Bacterial small subunit ribosomal RNA
Source: RNAcentral